GUGUGUGAAGGCCAUCUGCCUGUGACACCUGUCUCCCCAUUGAUCGCCAGGCUUGGGUGGCUGAUCUGGCUGAUCUGGCUGGCUAGACAGCUGUCCCGUUCCUCCCUUACUACUACAUAUGCUUCUGGGCACCCAGGCUGAAAGAGGACAACCUUCCUCUACUAGGGAAUACGUUGUAGGUCAAGGUUAUAAGAGUAGGGGCAUUUGCCUCCUAGACCCUCCAAAUAAGCUCUCAGAAUUUAUUUUAAUAUUAAUCUGAUGACAGAUUCCAAGAAAUGUCAAUAGAAGCAAUGUUACAUGUUUUUUUUCUAU
Unclassified non-coding RNA from Mesocricetus auratus (golden hamster), 312 nucleotides. Its record names the gene 7SK. It matches the Rfam family "7SK RNA". From Rfam's summary of the family: 7SK was discovered as an abundant small nuclear RNA in the mid-70s but a possible function has only recently been suggested. Two independent studies have found that 7SK RNA binds the CDK9/cyclin T complex (known as elongation factor P-TEFb). NCBI's taxonomy places the organism in Eukaryota, Metazoa, Chordata, Mammalia, Rodentia, Cricetidae. The record is from Ensembl.